GGGGGAUAUUGCACAAUGGGGGAAACCCUGAUGCAGCGACGCCGCGUGGAGGAAGAAGGUUUUCGGAUUGUAAACUCCUGUCGUUAGGGACGAUAAUGACGGUACCUAACAAGAAAGCACCGGCUAACUACGUGCCAGCAGCCGCGGUAAAACGUAGGGUGCAAGCGUUGUCCGGAAUUACUGGGUGUAAAGGGAGCGCAGGCGGGAAGACAAGUUGGAAGUGAAAACCAUGGGCUCAACCCAUGAAUUGCUUUCAAAACUGUUUUUCUUGAGUAGUGCAGAGGUAGAUGGAAUUCCCGGUGUAGCGGUGGAAUGCGUAGAUAUCGGGAGGAACACCAGUGGCGAAGGCGGUCUACUGGGCACCAACUGACGCUGAGGCUCGAAAGCAUGGGUAGCAAACAGGAUUAGAUACCCUGGUAGUCCAUGCCGUAAACGAUGAUUACUAGGUGUUGGGGGAUUGACCCCCUCAGUGCCGCAGUUAACACAAUAAGUAAUCCACCUGGGGAGUACGACCGCAAGGUUGAAACUCAAAGGAAUUGACGGGGGCCCGCACAAGCAGUGGAGUAUGUGGUUUAAUUCGAAGCAACGCGAAGAACCUUACCAGGUCUUGACAUCCGAUGCAUAACACAGAGAUGUGUGAAAUCCUUCGGGACAUCGAGACAGGUGGUGCAUGGUUGUCGUCAGCUCGUGUCGUGAGAUGUUGGGUUAAGUCCCGCAACGAGCGCAACCCUUAUUGCCAGUUACUACGUUAAGAGGACUCUGGCGAGACUGCCGUUGACAAAACGGAGGAAGGUGGGGAUGACGUCAAAUCAUCAUGCCCUUUAUGACCUGGGCUACACACGUACUACAAUGGCGUUAAACAAAGAGAAGCAAGACCGCGAGGUGGAGCAAAACUCAAAAACAACGUCUCAGUUCAGAUUGCAGGCUGCAACUCGCCUGCAUGAAGUCGGAAUUGCUAGUAAUCGCGGAUCAGCAUGCCGCGGUGAAUACGUUCCCG
Molecule: ribosomal RNA, 997 nt
Filed under: uncultured bacterium
Lineage: Bacteria
Description: bacterial SSU rRNA
Rfam family: Bacterial small subunit ribosomal RNA
Source: RNAcentral